RNAcentral lists this long non-coding RNA (323 nucleotides) under Bos taurus (domestic cattle). RNAcentral's name for it is "long non-coding RNA NONBTAT006196". Lineage: Eukaryota; Metazoa; Chordata; Mammalia; Artiodactyla; Bovidae. The record is from RNAcentral.
AGAUCCUUGAUGUCCAGCCACACUUCAGAAUAUCCACACUUAACACCACACGAAUGACACCCUGCUGCUAUGCAAGGCAUCUCUUUCCCAAAGGAUCCAUCUCUACUUCCCGUUGCCUGGUGGGCACGGCUCCUGCUGCCUUAGUCGUAUGAUACAUUUUUGUUUAGCAAAUGCAUCAACAUGUUAACCCUUCCAACUAGCUGACAUUAAAACCCUUUUAAAAAUAGUGUGAAAGUAGUUGAACAAUUGGUUUUAUGAAUUAAAGGAUACCUAGUGAUAGUAUAAAUCCAUAAAUUUUUAGAUUAAAAAAUGAAUACCCAAAG